GCGACUUUUCGUUUCUGGUACAUUACCUCCAUGACCGCCAAAUGUAUGCCGUGAUUGUAGCAAAUCUGUUGAUGCGCUGGUGAUAGUCUCCCAAAUUUGAUCAUGACACUGGCACCAUCACUUGUAAUAGCCACGAUGUCGGACUGUAGUUUUAUAUUGAAGUCUGAAAGCUUUGGAUUUACGAGCUCAUAUACUUUUUCAGCGGGACAUGAUUCCUGAAUGCGAACCAGGCCAAGGUUGUCAGAUUGUCCAUCGUCAUAAUAUAUAUGGAUGUUCAUGUGACGUCGGUUUCGCACGCUUGUCCACUCGUCGAUGCUCAAGCUGAACUUACGCUGUGCAGAUUUAAAAUUUUCAAUUUUGAUCUUCAAAUCGCUUUUUAUUUUCGUGCAGUACUUCAUAACCAAACCCAGAACAGCUUUGUGACACUUUGGAAGAUGAAAUCCUAAGCGGCUGAUACUAUUACGAAUGAACUCACUUUUUGUUAUCGCGUUUAUUGGAAUUCCAUCUUUUGCAGCCAAUUUUGCAACAAUUUGUUCAAGCGAUUCAGGCGAGGAAGAAGUAUUGAAAAAGUUGUGAAGAGUUCGGGUCUUCUUGGCUGGUGGCUGUUCUUUUGGAGCCUCAUGUUCCCUUCGCUUCAUGUUGUGUAUCCUCUCCAUGUGACGGUGAAGUCCAGAUGUUGACGAUGACUUGCAUUUAAUGAUUUUAUUGCAUUUCAAACAUGUUGCUUCGUCGUCAAAUCGCUUGAAAAGCUGCCACACUUGGUCGUAUUCGUAUUCUGAACUCAUGAUUUUUAAUGCUAAAAAUUCAAAAUUUGUUUUAAAUUUUGGUUUUUAAAGGAAGUAACUAACCGGUAAUCGCAGUCAACGAUACGUCGAUUCAAAACUUAAAAAUAAGUAAUAUUUGGACCACAAAAUAUUUUAUUAUACGGUGUAUAAUUUAUACUUAAUCAGGUACCACAAAAUGAAAUGCACCCGCUCACUACAAAAAAUAAAUUUAAAACCGUCGUCUGUGCAGUCUGCGAACAAAUUGAAAUUGCUUGACUAUUUUCAAAGCAUUUCUAAUUGCUUAACUGCUGCUACAUAUAAGAAACACAUAAAACUAAACUUCAUUAGCUUGAUGUUACAGUGCUUUCCCUCGACAUAGCAUAGCAACGCAUCUAGCAUUUACUCUGUAGUCACCCUAAAACAAAAAAAAAAAAACAAACAAACAAAUGGAACAGUUAUACUGUUGUGGCUUUUCGCAUAGCAAUUGAAACUAUGGUGUGAAUUGUAUGUGAUUCUGCGAAACAGUAUGUAGUGUGCGAUUCUUUGUAACAUAAUGGCCGUUACAGUUUGGUGUUUCCAGGUAUUAAUCAUAUUUGUUUAUAGUGAUUAAAUACUUACGAUUGCGGAAUGCAUCCGAUAGAAAAGCCGACAAGUCCACGUAAAAUUAAAAGCCAGGUGAAGUUGGGAGCCACAGAACUGAGUAAACUAUACAACACAAGCAGCACUCCACAAAAUGUUAAGGCCUGGAAUUGAAUUAUAUUAUAAAAUAUAAAUGUACCUUAAAUAUCGACUUAUGUUUUCAAAGUCCUGCCGUUCGUUAAACAUAGUCCCGAUGAAAUACAGUUGUUUGGUGACUGAACGUCAAUACUUUGUGUUCUCUGUCCGUCUGUGGAAUACCUUACCUUACAAAAUUAAACGCAUAAAAGAAAGCUCGUGCUUCAAAAAUAAAUUGUUUCGCUACCUUGCCUUUUUUAAUAGCUUCUCCAACUUCAACUUCUUUACCACUAGCUAUA
Anastrepha ludens (Mexican fruit fly) is the source of this 1777-nucleotide long non-coding RNA. RefSeq lists it as uncharacterized. Lineage: Eukaryota; Metazoa; Arthropoda; Insecta; Diptera; Tephritidae. The transcript has 3 exons. The record is from RefSeq and is a predicted model, not a curated record.